GACGAACGCUGGCGGCGUGCCUAAUACAUGCAAGUCGAACGCACAGUUUAUACCUUCGCUUGCUACACCAUAGACUGUGAGUUGCGAACGGGUGAGUAACGCGUAGGUAACCUGCCUGGUAGCGGGGGAUAACUAUUGGAAACGAUAGCUAAUACCGCAUAAUAUUAAUUAUUGCAUGAUAAUUAAUUGAAAGGUGCAAUUGCACCACUACCAGAUGGACCUGCGUUGUAUUAGCUAGUAGGUGAGGUAACGGCUCACCUAGGCGACGAUACAUAGCCGACCUGAGAAGGGGAUCGGCCAAACUGGGACUGGGACACGGCCCAGAAGCCUACGGGAGGCAGCAGUAGGGAAUCUUCGGGAAUGGACGAAAGGCUGACCGGGGAACGCCGCGUGAGUGAAGAAGGUUUUCGGAUCGUAAAGAUCUGUUGUAAGAGAAGAACGGGUGUGAGGGUGGAAAGUUCACACUGUGACGGUAUCUUACCAGAAAGGGACGGCUAACUACGUG
RNAcentral lists this ribosomal RNA (505 nucleotides) under uncultured bacterium. Its description in RNAcentral is "partial 16S ribosomal RNA". It matches the Rfam family "Bacterial small subunit ribosomal RNA", at positions 28 to 507 of the family's 1533-position model. The record is from RNAcentral.